GACGAACGCUGGCGGCGUGCUUAACACAUGCAAGUCGAACGGAAAGGCCCUGCUUUUGUGGGGUGCUCGAGUGGCGAACGGGUGAGUAACACGUGAGUAACCUGCCCUUGUCUUUGGGAUAACUUCAGGAAACUGGGGCUAAUACCGGAUAGGAGCUCCUGCUGCAUGGUGGGGGUUGGAAAGUUUCGGCGGUUGGGGAUGGACUCGCGGCUUAUCAGCUUGUUGGUGGGGUAGUGGCUUACCAAGUCUUUGACGGGUAGCCGGCCUGAGAGGGUGACCGGCCACAAGGGGACUGAGAUACGGCCCAGACGGCUACGGGAGGCAGCAGUGGGGAAUAUUGCACAGUGGGCGGAAGCCUGAUGCAGCAACGCCGCGUGCGGGAAGACGGCCUUCGGGUUGUAAACCGCUUUCGCCUGUGACGAAGCGUGAGUGACGGUAAUGGGUAAAGAAGCACCGGCUAACUACGUG
RNAcentral lists this ribosomal RNA (468 nucleotides) under uncultured bacterium. RNAcentral describes it as "partial 16S ribosomal RNA". It matches the Rfam family "Bacterial small subunit ribosomal RNA", at positions 28 to 507 of the family's 1533-position model. The record is from RNAcentral.